RNAcentral lists this ribosomal RNA (447 nucleotides) under Streptococcus sp. oral taxon 071. RNAcentral describes it as "bacterial SSU rRNA". It matches the Rfam family "Bacterial small subunit ribosomal RNA", at positions 28 to 465 of the family's 1533-position model. The record is from RNAcentral. Lineage: Bacteria; Bacillati; Bacillota; Bacilli; Lactobacillales; Streptococcaceae.
GACGAACGCUGGCGGCGUGCCUAAUACAUGCAAGUAGAACGCUGAAGAGAGGAGCUUGCUCUUCUUGGAUGAGUUGCGAGCGGGUGAGUAACGCGUAGGUAACCUGCCUGGUAGCGGGGGAUAACUAUUGGAAACGAUAGCUAAUACCGCAUAAAAUGGAUUAUCGCAUGAUAAUCAAUUGAAAGGUGCAAAUGCAUCACUACCAGAUGGACCUGCGUUGUAUUAGCUAGUUGGUGGGGUAACGGCUCACCAAGGCGACGACACAUAGCCGACCUGAGAGGGUGAUCGGCCACACUGGGACUGAGACACGGCCCAGACUCCUACGGGAGGCAGCAGUAGGGAAUCUUCGGCAAUGGACGGAAGUCUGACCGAGCAACGCCGCGUGAGUGAAGAAGGUUUUCGGAUCGUAAAGCUCUGUUGUAAGAGAGGAACGAGUGUGAGAGUGGA